This 777-nucleotide ribosomal RNA is filed under the name uncultured Neocallimastigales. Its description in RNAcentral is "partial large subunit ribosomal RNA". It matches the Rfam family "Eukaryotic large subunit ribosomal RNA", at positions 22 to 635 of the family's 3401-position model. Lineage: Eukaryota; Fungi; Neocallimastigomycota; Neocallimastigomycetes; Neocallimastigales. The record is from RNAcentral.
CAUAGCGACUAUCGUGGCAUAUCAAUAAGCGGAGGAAAAGAAACUAACAAGGAUUCCCUUAGUAACGGCGAGUGAAGCGGGAAGAGCUCAAAUUUGAAAUCUUCAAGGUUUUCACCUUGACGAAUUGUAGUUUAAAGAAGUGUUUUCUGUUGGAGUUUUGGUAAAAGUUCUUUGGAAUAGGACAUCAUAGAGGGUGAGAAUCCCGUAUUUGACCACUAUUUCCAGCUGUGUGAUACACUUUCAAAGAGUCGGAUUGUUUGGGAAUGCAGUCCAAAAUGGGUGGUAAAUUUCAUCUAAAGCUAAAUAUUGGCGAGAGACCGAUAGCGAACAAGUACCGUGAGGGAAAGAUGAAAAGAACUUUGAAAAGAGAGUUAAACAGUACGUGAAAUUGUCAAAAGGGAAGCGUUUGACACCAGUGUUGUUUUCUCGAAAAUCAAUUAAAAAUGAUGGGAUUUUGUGUUGUAUUGACUUUAUCAGCUUUCUGCACUUUUUCUUAUCUUUUUUAAUGCACUUUUCGUUUAACAAGUCAACAUCAAUUUCUUUUGUUGUAAAAGAGUCAUUGGAAGGUGGCUUUUUCUUCGGAAAAAGUGUUUAUAGCCUUUGGCUUCUGCAAUCGGAGAGAUUGAGGUCUGCAGCGUAGAUCCUUCGGGGUUAGAUACAUUUGUGCUAAGCUUAUAGUUCUUUAUAGACAACUUGUUGACUAUAGUCUAGUCCUUGUAGCUUACUCGCUUAUGCUAUUCUACCUACGCUUAGGAUGUUGAUAUGCAUGACUGAUAU